GCCGCCGCCCCCGCCCUUGCGGGCUCCGGCCGGGAAGCCCCUGGUUGGGCGGCGGGCGGACGCUGGCCCAGGCGCCCGCUCCGCGCGCGGGGACGCGAGCUGCCCCGGAGGCCCGCUCUUCGGAGCAGGACCCGGGGCCUGCGCGGCGGCCUGAGGGGGGCAGGGCGCGCCCCUGGGCCGUCGGCGUCUUAGAAUAGAACCCUUGGUUUGUAGUGGGACCCAUCUCUGUCCAGAAGAAGACUGUAUUUCCUCACUUCCCUGUAGCUUGAUGUGGUCAUGUGCCCAACGUCUGUCGAAUAGGAAAUACGCAGAAGCCGUGCAAGGAACUUCCAGGAAAUCCUUAAAGAGAAGGGGCUAUUCUCCCUCUCUCCUUCCUCUGGCACAACAUGAAUGUGAUGGCCGGAGCUUGAAUAGCCAUCUUGAACUAUGAAGUGGAAGCCACGUGGUAAGGAUGACAGAGCAGAAAGUAGCAGCCUGGUUUCCUGGCACCGUGGACAGGCAUAUCAGCCCAGGAGAGACUACCGCCAGAUUUUUACAUGUGAGAGAAAGUAAUCUGCUAUUUUGGUAAGCCACUGUAAUUUUGGAUUCCUUGUUGCUCAUAGCUAAGUCUAACUCAGCUCUCGAAUAUGGAAAGGAAUUAUCUUCUUUUGAGAAUAUAUCAUAAUGUGCUCUAAGUUGUUUAAUUUAGGCUGGUGGUGGCAUCUCCAUUUGAUGAAGGAAUUCAAAUCUGAGUGAUGUCCCCAUAGUCAAAAAAAUUAAUAGCAAUACAGCUCACUUUGAUUUCUCUCUCUGAGGGUGUCAGUACCUUCACCGUGAUGUUCACUUCCUUUGAAAGAAUAUCAUGUUCUGACAAGUGGAAAUCGGUUAUCUAAAGCAAAUACCUUGCUACUUUAAAUCUGCUAAAAAACAAACUGUAUUCAUUUUCAGUUCCUGUGUCUAAAGCAAUUGUGGAAAAUUUAUGUUCCAAGGAAUUCAAAAGAUUAAUGUUGAAUUAAUAGUAAGUGAAUUUUGUACUGAGGAUGGUUGCUUCUAGAGUGCUGCUAAUUUAUUUCUUGACCUAGAUGGUGGUUGCUUACAUAUUUGCUUUGUAUUUAUCCAUUAAACUGUACAUAUGUUUAUGUACUUUUCUGUGUUAUAUAUUUCAUAAUAAUAAAGGAUUAAAGACGUGAA
Balaenoptera musculus (blue whale) is the source of this 1170-nucleotide long non-coding RNA. RefSeq lists it as uncharacterized. The record is from RefSeq and is a predicted model, not a curated record. The transcript has 2 exons. Lineage: Eukaryota; Metazoa; Chordata; Mammalia; Artiodactyla; Balaenopteridae.